CCUACGGGAGGCAGCAGUCGGGGAUAUUGCGCAAUGGAGGAAACUCUGACGCAGUGACGCCGCGUGCAGGAAGAAGGUUUUCGGAUUGUAAACUGCUUUAGACAGGGAAGAAACAAGACAGUACCUGUAAAAUAAGCUCCGGCUAACUACGUGCCAGCAGCCGCGGGAAUACGUAGGGAGCAAGCGUUAUCCGGAUUUAUUGGGGGUAAAGGGUGCGUAGACGGGAGGUCAAGUGUGUUGUGAAACCCCGCGGCCUAACUGCGGAACUACAAAGAAAACGUACUGUCUUGAGUGCUGGAGAGGAAAGUGGAAUUCCUAGUGUAGCGGUGAAAUGCGUAGAUAUUAGGAGGAACACCAGUGGCGAAGGCGACUUUCUGGACAGUAACUGACGUUGAGGCACGAAAGUGUGGGGAGCAAACAGGAUUAGAUACCCUUGUAGUC
RNAcentral lists this ribosomal RNA (441 nucleotides) under uncultured bacterium. RNAcentral describes it as "partial 16S ribosomal RNA". It matches the Rfam family "Bacterial small subunit ribosomal RNA", at positions 338 to 795 of the family's 1533-position model. The record is from RNAcentral.